AGGACGAACGCUGGCGGCGUGCUUAACACAUGCAAGUCGAGCGGAAAGGCCUUUCGGGGUACUCGAGCGGCGAACGGGUGAGUAACACGUGAGUAAUCUGCCCAUCGCUUCAGGAUAGCCAUCGGAAACGGUGAUUAAUACUGGAUAUGACAUUCCUUCGCAUGUUGGGGUGUGGAAAGUUUUUUCGGCGGUGGAUGUGCUCGCGGCCUAUCAGCUUGUUGGUGGGUAAUGGCCUACCAAGGCUUUGACGGGUAGCCGGCCUGAGAGGGUGACCGGCCAACGACGUGGGACUGAGACACGGCCCAGACUCCGUACGGGAGCAGCAGUGGGAAUAUUGGACAAGUGGGCGAAGCCUGAUCCAGCAACGCCGCGUGAGGAUGACGGCUUCGGGUUGUAACCUCGUUUCAGCACAGACGUAGUUUUGUCGUUUUUGGUGUAGUGACGUAGUGU
This 450-nucleotide ribosomal RNA is filed under the name uncultured soil bacterium. RNAcentral's name for it is "bacterial SSU rRNA". It matches the Rfam family "Bacterial small subunit ribosomal RNA", at positions 26 to 480 of the family's 1533-position model. The record is from RNAcentral.